This 1009-nucleotide ribosomal RNA is filed under the name uncultured marine bacterium. RNAcentral's name for it is "bacterial SSU rRNA". It matches the Rfam family "Bacterial small subunit ribosomal RNA", at positions 55 to 1062 of the family's 1533-position model. The record is from RNAcentral.
AUGCAGUCGAACGGUAACAUUUCUAGCUUGCUAGAAGAUGACGAGUGGCGGACGGGUGAGUAAUGCUUGGGAACUUGCCUUUGCGAGGGGGAUAACAGUUGGAAACGACUGCUAAUACCGCAUAAUGUCUUCGGACCAAACGGGGCUUCGGCUCCGGCGCAAAGAGAGGCCCAAGUGAGAUUAGCUAGUUGGUAAGGUAACGGCUUACCAAGGCGACGAUCUCUAGCUGUUCUGAGAGGAAGAUCAGCCACACUGGGACUGAGACACGGCCCAGACUCCUACGGGAGGCAGCAGUGGGGAAUAUUGCACAAUGGGGGAAACCCUGAUGCAGCCAUGCCGCGUGUGUGAAGAAGGCCUUCGGGUUGUAAAGCACUUUCAGUUGUGAGGAAAAGUUAGUAGUUAAUACCUGCUAGCCGUGACGUUAACAACAGAAGAAGCACCGGCUAACUCCGUGCCAGCAGCCGCGGUAAUACGGAGGGUGCGAGCGUUAAUCGGAAUUACUGGGCGUAAAGCGCACGCAGGCGGUUUGUUAAGCUAGAUGUGAAAGCCCCGGGCUCAACCUGGGAUGGUCAUUUAGAACUGGCAGACUAGAGUCUUGGAGAGGGGAGUGGAAUUCCAGGUGUAGCGGUGAAAUGCGUAGAUAUCUGGAGGAACAUCAGUGGCGAAGGCGACUCCCUGGCCAAAGACUGACGCUCAUGUGCGAAAGUGUGGGUAGCGAACAGGAUUAGAUACCCUGGUAGUCCACACCGUAAACGCUGUCUACUAGCUGUGUGUGUCUUUAAGACGUGCGUAGCGAAGCUAACGCGCUAAGUAGACCGCCUGGGGAGUACGGCCGCAAGGUUAAAACUCAAAUGAAUUGACGGGGGCCCGCACAAGCGGUGGAGCAUGUGGUUUAAUUCGAUGCAACGCGAAGAACCUUACCUACACUUGACAUGCUGAGAAGUUACUAGAGAUAGUUUCGUGCCUUCGGGAACUCAGACACAGGUGCUGCAUGGCUGUCGUCAGCUCG